Molecule: ribosomal RNA, 222 nt
Filed under: uncultured bacterium
Lineage: Bacteria
Description: partial 16S ribosomal RNA
Rfam family: Bacterial small subunit ribosomal RNA
Source: RNAcentral
UACGUAGGGUGCAAGCGUUAAUCGGAAUUACUGGGCGUAAAGCGUGCGCAGGCGGUUCGCUAAGACAGAUGUGAAAUCCCCGGGCUUAACCUGGGAACUGCAUUUGUGACUGGCGGGCUAGAGUAUGGCAGAGGGGGGUAGAAUUCCACGUGUAGCAGUGAAAUGCGUAGAGAUGUGGAGGAAUACCGAUGGCGAAGGCAGCCCCCUGGGCCAAUACUGACG